This 345-nucleotide unclassified non-coding RNA is filed under the name soil metagenome. Its description in RNAcentral is "partial contains 5.8S ribosomal RNA, internal transcribed spacer 2, and large subunit ribosomal RNA". The stretch from base 1 to 119 matches the Rfam family "5.8S ribosomal RNA", at positions 35 to 154 of the family's 154-position model. The record is from RNAcentral.
GAUGAAGAACGUAGCGAAAUGCGAUACGUAAUGUGAAUUGCAAAUUCAGUGAAUCAUCGAGUCUUUGAACGCACAUUGCGCCCCCUGGUAUUCCGGGGGGCAUGCCUGUCCGAGCGUCAUUGCUGCUCUCAAGCACGGCUUGUGUGUUGGGCCCCGUCCUCCGAUCCCGGGGGACGGGCCCGAAAGGCAGCGGCGGCACCGCGUCCGGUCCUCGAGCGUAUGGGGCUUUGUCACCCGCUCUGUAGGCCCGGCCGGCGCUUGCCGAUCAACCCAAAUUUUUAUCCAGGUUGACCUCGGAUCAGGUAGGGAUACCCGCUGAACUUAAGCAUAUCAAUAAGCGGAGGA